RNAcentral lists this ribosomal RNA (301 nucleotides) under uncultured bacterium. Its description in RNAcentral is "partial 16S ribosomal RNA". It matches the Rfam family "Bacterial small subunit ribosomal RNA", at positions 509 to 807 of the family's 1533-position model. The record is from RNAcentral.
CAGUCGCCGCGGUAAAACGAAGGGUGCAAGCGUUACUCGGAAUUACUGGGCGUAAAGCGUGCGUAGGUGGUGGUUUAAGUCCGUUGUGAAAGCCCUGGGCUCAACCGGGGAAUUGCAGUGGAUACUGGGUCACUAGAGUGUGGUAGAGGAUAGUGGAAUUUCCGGUGUAGCAGUGAAAUGCGUAGAGAUCGGAAGGAACAUCUGUGGCGAAGGCAACUAUCUGGGCCAACACUGACACUGAGGCACGAAAGCGUGGGGAGCAAACAGGAUUAGAUACCCGCGUAGUCCCUGUCUCUUAUAC